RNAcentral lists this transfer RNA (83 nucleotides) under Ameiurus melas (black bullhead). It matches the Rfam family "tRNA". From Rfam's summary of the family: Transfer RNA (tRNA) molecules are approximately 80 nucleotides in length. Lineage: Eukaryota; Metazoa; Chordata; Actinopteri; Siluriformes; Ictaluridae. The record is from Rfam by way of RNAcentral.
ACCAGGAUGGCCGAGUGGUUAAGGCGUUGGGCGUAGGUCCCAAUGGAUUAAAGUCCUCGUGGGUUCAAACCCCACUCCUGGUA